GACGAACGCUGGCGGCGUGCUUAACACAUGCAAGUCGAACGAUGAACCCGGAGCUUGCUCCGGUGGAUUAGCGGCGAACGGGUGAGGAACACGUGAAGAAUCUGCCCUCCACUUUGGGAUAACACAGGGAAACCUGUGCUAAUACCGAAUAUUGAAACAUAAGUGGCAUCACUGGGUUUUGAAAGAAUUUCGGUGGAGGAUGACUUCGCGGCCUAUCAGCUAGUUGGUGAGGUAAUGGCUCACCAAGGCAACGACGGGUAGCCGGCCUGAGAGGGCGACCGGCCACACUGGGACUGAGACACGGCCCAGACUCCUACGGGAGGCAGCAGUGGGGAAUAUUGGGCAAUGGAGGAAACUCUGACCCAGCGACGCCGCGUGCGGGAUGAAGGCCUUCGGGUUGUAAACCGCUUUCAGUAGGGAAGAAGCGAAAGUGACGGUACCUACAAAAGAAGCACCGGCUAACUAUGUG
RNAcentral lists this ribosomal RNA (469 nucleotides) under uncultured bacterium. RNAcentral describes it as "bacterial SSU rRNA". It matches the Rfam family "Bacterial small subunit ribosomal RNA", at positions 28 to 507 of the family's 1533-position model. The record is from RNAcentral.